This 478-nucleotide long non-coding RNA is filed under the name Hordeum vulgare. RNAcentral describes it as "long non-coding RNA (HVUL_LNC017534)". The record is from RNAcentral. Lineage: Eukaryota; Viridiplantae; Streptophyta; Magnoliopsida; Poales; Poaceae.
CGAUUCUCCUGUAUCCGUUCUGGAGGACGAGGUGAUCUGCUCUUCCAAAGCCUCGGCUUAAAAAAACCCUAUGCCGAUUCCAUUUCCUUCUGUCGGGCGCGGUGUUUGAACUUCGUCCGUUUAGGUUUCCGGCCAAUUUCCGUCCUUCUUGGUCCUCGGAAGGAAAUUUCGGUCCUUUUACCCUGAUGAUGAUGAUGCGCUUGUUUUGCUUGAGAUCAGAAAAUGCCCGACGCCAAGGACGAGAGAAACGCCGGCGAUUCGAAGCUCGAGGCCGCUGCAGAUCAGUCACUGAACUCCGUCAGAGAGGAGGCGGCCGAUGUGUUUCAGGAGGCCGAUGACGGCGACGCUGGCCUCGUCACGGAGGUGAUGGCCAAGGAGGAAGAGGAGCUGUACCGGGCCCGGCUCAAGGCAGAGGAAGAGGAGGAGGCCAGGAGGAGGGAAGCUCGCAAGACUUUUGAUCCGAAUCAACGGUUCAGCA